RNAcentral lists this ribosomal RNA (525 nucleotides) under uncultured Diversisporaceae. Its description in RNAcentral is "SSU rRNA". It matches the Rfam family "Eukaryotic small subunit ribosomal RNA", at positions 569 to 1093 of the family's 1831-position model. Lineage: Eukaryota; Fungi; Glomeromycota; Glomeromycetes; Diversisporales. The record is from RNAcentral.
AGCAGCCGCGGUAAUUCCAGCUCCAAUAGCGUAUAUUAAAGUUGUUGCAGUUAAAAAGCUCGUAGUUGAACCUCGGGGUCUACCCAUUGGUCAGGCUUAAUUGUCUGCACUGGUGAGAUGGAUCUCUACCUUCUGAGGAACUUUCAUGCCAUUUAUUUGGUGUGAUGGGAAAUCAGGACUGUUACUUUGAAAAAAUUAGAGUGUUUAAAGCAGACUAUCGUCUGAAUACAUUAGCAUGGAAUAAUGAAAUAGGACGGACUGAUUCUAUUUCGUUGGUUUCUAGGAUCACCGUAAUGAUUAAUAGGGAUAGUUGGGGGCAUUAGUAUUCAAUUGUCAGAGGUGAAAUUCUUGGAUUUAUUGAAGACUAACUACUGCGAAAGCAUUUGCCAAGGAUGUUUUCAUUAAUCAAGAACGAAAGUUAGGGGAUCGAAGACGAUCAGAUACCGUCGUAGUCUUAACCAUAAACUAUGCCGACUAGGGAUCGGAUGAUGUUAAUUUUUUAAUGACUCAUUCGGCGCCUUACGG